GAUCCUGGCUCAGGAUGAACGCUAGCGGCAGGCUUAACACAUGCAAGUCGAGGGGCAGCACGAGGUAGCAAUACUUUGGUGGCGACCGGCGCACGGGUGCGUAACGCGUAUGCAACCUACCUUUAACAGGGGCAUAACACUGAGAAAUUGGUACUAAUUCCCCAUAACAUUCGAGAAGGCAUCUUCUUGGGUUAAAAACUCCGGUGGUUAAAGAUGGGCAUGCGUUGUAUUAGCUAGUUGGUGAGGUAAUGG
This 252-nucleotide ribosomal RNA is filed under the name uncultured bacterium. RNAcentral describes it as "partial 16S ribosomal RNA". It matches the Rfam family "Bacterial small subunit ribosomal RNA", at positions 15 to 263 of the family's 1533-position model. The record is from RNAcentral.